CCUACGGGUGGCAGCAGUGAGGAAUAUUGGUCAAUGGACGCAAGUCUGAACCAGCCAUGCCGCGUGCAGGAAGACGGCUCUAUGAGUUGUAAACUGCUUUUGUACGAGGGUAAACGCAGUUACGUGUAUUUGUCUGAAAGUAUCGUACGAAUAAGGAUCGGCUAACUCCGUGCCAGCAGCCGCGGUAAUACGGAGGAUUCAAGCGUUAUCCGGAUUUAUUGGGUUUAAAGGGUGCGUAGGCGGUCGGAUAAGUUAGUGGUGAAAUCCCGAGGCUCAACUUUGGAAUUGCCUCUGAUACUGUUUGGCUAGAGAGUAGUUGAGGUAGGCGGAAUGUAUGGUGUAGCGGUGAAAUGCUUAGAGAUCAUGCAGAACACCGAUUGCGAAGGCAGCUUACCAAGCUGCUUCUGACGUUGAGGCACGAAAGCGUGGGGAGCAAACAGGAUUAGAUACCCUAGUAGUC
This 460-nucleotide ribosomal RNA is filed under the name uncultured bacterium. RNAcentral's name for it is "partial 16S ribosomal RNA". It matches the Rfam family "Bacterial small subunit ribosomal RNA", at positions 338 to 795 of the family's 1533-position model. The record is from RNAcentral.